Molecule: long non-coding RNA, 264 nt
Filed under: Lathyrus oleraceus (garden pea)
Lineage: Eukaryota; Viridiplantae; Streptophyta; Magnoliopsida; Fabales; Fabaceae
Description: Pisum sativum (pea) long non-coding RNA (PSAT_LNC022673)
Source: RNAcentral
UAAGCUUUAAAAGGCGAUGAAGCUUAAACUAAAGUAAAAGAAAAUUGAAAUAAACAAUAUUAAAUGAAUACAGUCAAUGACAAGAAUAAAGUAUGUUUCGAUUAAAGAAAAAAAAAGGUACAAAGAAAAAGGGAUGCAGACUCACAUAAUUGCUCAUAAAAUGUUUCACUCGUUUGCUUGGGUACGCCAGUUUUAUAGAGUGUAUAUGAAAUUUGUGACCUUGAUUAUAACACAUGAGUCUAGUAUAUAUGAUAAACUAUAAAU